CUCGUAAGCUAAUUCCUCUAUGUAUAAGCUCAUAUUAUCAUGCAUGUCAUGCUUUCCAUCUUGUAUUACACAAAUUUGGAAGCAAAGCUAGAAGCAACAUUGGUGCCUGAUCUCCAUUUUGUUUUUUAGAUGUAUAUGAGCGGCUUGUCCAGGAUGGUAAGAAAGCUGGUUUCUUUCAGUUGCUGGCUACGCAAACUGUCAGUGCUGUAUGGCAUGGAUUGUAUCCUGGGUACAUGAUUUUCUUUGUUCAGUCUGCUUUGUUUAUUGCUGGUUCAAGAGGUUCUAACACGAUUCCCAAGAAGAAGAAACCAGUCAUUGCUGUGAAGAUGGUUUUUGAAUUGAAGACUACAAGGCCUAUCGUGCUCAUGUUUUGUUCUAGAUGGGAAUCGUGCUCAUAUUUUUGUAUAGAACUUUACUACUCUCUAUUGUGGAUGGAAAAUCACUAGUAUUGUAACUGAAUGGCUUAUUUUGGAUGGUGCAUGGUUUAUGACUCAUUUGAGGCAACAUUUAUAUAUAUAUGUAUUUGGGUUGAUCUUCUAUUGGAAA
Long non-coding RNA from Coffea arabica (coffee), 546 nucleotides. RefSeq lists it as uncharacterized. NCBI's taxonomy places the organism in Eukaryota, Viridiplantae, Streptophyta, Magnoliopsida, Gentianales, Rubiaceae. The record is from RefSeq and is a predicted model, not a curated record.